GGCACGCGACAAGUUGUCUCUCCAUGCCCCUGGUUGAAGAUUCUAAAGAAAAGAAAACGAUCACUUUUUUGGAAACGUGUACGUGACUGGCUGACUGCAUGAUAAACUGGGCAACAAAACAAAUUUCUAACUUGUGGUCGUCUUGUGAAUUCCAUGCUGUUUGACAGAUUUGAGACCUGAGCCACCCAUCGAAACUACAAGUUGUGCAAGUUUAGCUUCUGCUACUAUUGACCUGUCAUCAGCAAUAACUAUCCCGGCAUUAUCAUCUUUGAUAAACAGAACCCCAAUUGGAGACUGUUGCCCGAGUUACGGAUUUUUUUUUUCUCCUUUUCUUUGAAUUGUCCUCGUGUACAUCCAUGUGAGUGUGGGUGUAUUCACGAGGACGCCCUUUUUACCUAUUCCGGUUGGUGGAUUCAACUUUUUCUGCGGAUGGAUGGAGCAUUCGUGGAUACCUGGCUGCAUAUUGUCCCAGGCUUAAAGCUAAAUGAAUUGAGUGACUGCAAAUGAAUGAGUAUGGAAAGCUCUGUUAACCAGGUACACAACUGAAGAAAAAGUCACUGAAGAAUACCCCAUCAAUGCCAAUUUUGUUUGUCGACAAGCUGUACCUGGAGAGUCAAGACUAAGCUCUUGUCCCUAUUUCAUGUUCUGUAUGGCCUGCAUAACUGCCGGGAAUCCUGGGUGAACCAGAUGAGUCUAUUCAUUUUUUUUUUAAAUUUAGAUUGGGCAAGAAGGAAAAUUCAACUUUCAGCAGCCAUGAAGAAAACAAACCUGAACCUGAUGUGAACAUUCCGUGCCAGCCACAUCUACCCAUCUAAACUGCCACAAUGUUUUAACGGAAAAAGCAAGAAUUCCAGAAAAGUAUUGGUCUGCUGUAAUGGAAGAUGUAGUUCCUUGCCAAGAUGGAAUUUUUUAAAACUUUAUCAAGAGCUAUUCAAUCUGAGGCAAAUGGCUUCCACGAUACAGUUGACAAGCAACAACCAGUCCUGUUUGGAAUUUGACGAAGAAGUUUGGUCGUCACUCGUCAAAGUUGAGAAAGAAGAAGACUGGAGCCUGAUAAGAACCUGUCUGUUGAUGCAAUUAAAACAAAGACAGACAAAAUGGAAACUGAAGAAAUGUUAAAGAAGAGUGGCGUUGAUACGGUAACGAUUUUAUGUAAUGGUCACACAAGAACAAUUACCGCAACACCAACUGCAAACUGGACUUAGAAUGAAAGUAAUUAUGCUGACCAUCUUUCUAACCUGAAUGCUACAGAUAUUGUUAGUUGAUGACCAGUUCUUUGCUCAUCUGUUUUAGAAAUUUCAGUCUAGUUUACAUGGGGAAAACUUGCCAACUGUAAUUCCUUUAAAAAUAGGAUUAACAGCCUGGUGAAGUCUGAGCUUUCCUUGCUGUCCGUUGGUUUUCUUGCAGUUGGAUGGUGAAACGUAUUAUAAAAUCAAAUUGAUGUGUUUCAUGCAGUCUUUCUUGCUGGUGUAAUCCUGUGAAGAAGUCCCGAAGUAUGUUAACUGUUAUUGAUUCGUAAAAUUUGUAAAAUGAUUACUCGAACGGAAACUUGGAA
Long non-coding RNA from Daphnia pulex (common water flea), 1555 nucleotides. RefSeq lists it as uncharacterized. The record is from RefSeq and is a predicted model, not a curated record. NCBI's taxonomy places the organism in Eukaryota, Metazoa, Arthropoda, Branchiopoda, Diplostraca, Daphniidae. The transcript has 8 exons.